AGAGUUUGAUCCUGGCUCAGAUUGAACGCUGGCGGCAGGCCUAACACAUGCAAGUCGAGCGGUAGCAGUCCUUCGGGAGCUGACGAGCGGCGGACGGGUGAGGAAUGCUUGGGAAUCUGCCCGAUAGAGGGGGAUAACUACGGGAAACUGUAGCUAAUACCGCAUGAUCUCUUAGGAGCAAAGCGGGGGACCUUCGGGCCUCGCGCUAUCGGAUGAGCCCAAGUGGGAUUAGCUAGUUGGUAGGGUAAAGGCCUACCAAGGCGACGAUCUCUAACUGGUCUGAGAGGAUGAUCAGUCACACUGGAACUGAGACACGGUCCAGACUCCUACGGGAGGCAGCAGUGGGGAAUAUUGGACAAUGGGGGCAACCCUGAUCCAGCCAUGCCGCGUGGGUGAAGAAGGCCUUCGGGUUGUAAAGCCCUUUUGGCGGGGAGGAAGGGUGUGAGGUGAAUAAUCUCGCACUUUGACGUUACCCGCAGAAUAAGCACCGGCAAACUCCGUGCCAGCAGCCGCGGUAAUACGGAGGGUGCAAGCGUUAAUCGGAAUUACUGGGCGUAAAGCGCAUGCAGGCGGUCUGUUAAGUCAGAUGUGAAAUCCCCGGGCUUAACCUGGGAACUGCAUUUGAAACUGGCAGACUGGAGUCCUGGAGAGGGGGGUAGAAUUUCCGGUGUAGCGGUGAAAUGCGUAGAUAUCGGAAGGAAUACCAGUGGCGAAGGCGGCCCCCUGGCCAGAGACUGACGCUCAGAUGCGAAAGCGUGGGGAGCAAACAGGAUUAGAUACCCUGGUAGUCCACGCUGUAAACGAUGUCAACUAGCUGCUUGUGUCUUCGUGACGUGGGUAGCGCAGCCAACGCACUAAGUUGACCGCCUGGGGAGUACGGCCGCAAGGUUAAAACUCAAAUGAAUUGACGG
Molecule: ribosomal RNA, 911 nt
Filed under: uncultured bacterium
Lineage: Bacteria
Description: bacterial SSU rRNA
Rfam family: Bacterial small subunit ribosomal RNA
Source: RNAcentral